UACGGAGGUGGCGAGCGUUACUCGGAUUCAUUGGGUGUAAAGGGCAGGUAGGCGUUCCGCCAAGUUGGUAGUGAAAUCCUUUGGCUCAACCAAAGAACUGCUUCCAAAACUGGCGGAAUUGAGGAUGAAAGAGGAGAGCGGAAUUCCCGGUGUAAGAGUGAAAUCUGUAGAUAUCGGGAGGAACACCCGUGGCGAAAGCGGCUCUCUGGUUCAACCCUGACGCUGAACUGCGAAAGCUAGGGGAGCAAACAGG
This 253-nucleotide ribosomal RNA is filed under the name uncultured bacterium. Its description in RNAcentral is "partial 16S ribosomal RNA". It matches the Rfam family "Bacterial small subunit ribosomal RNA", at positions 524 to 776 of the family's 1533-position model. The record is from RNAcentral.